GAACGCUAGCUACAGGCUUAACACAUGCAAGUCGAGGGGCAGCAUGAUUCUAGCUUGCUAGAAUUGAUGGCGACCGGCGCACGGGUGCGUAACACGUAUCCAAUCUACCCAUGGCUCGGGAAUAGCCUUUCGAAAGAAAGAUUAAUGCCCGAUGGUCUGUGAUUGAGACAUCUCGAACACAGUAAAGAUUUAUCGGCGAUGGAUGAGGAUGCGUCCGAUUAGCUGGUUGGCGGGGCAACGGCCCACCAAGGCGACGAUCGGUAGGGGUUCUGAGAGGAAGGUCCCCCACACUGGAACUGAGACACGGUCCAGACUCCUACGGGAGGCAGCAGUGAGGAAUAUUGGUCAAUGGUCGAGAGACUGAACCAGCCAAGUAGCGUGAGGGACGACGGCCCUACGGGUUGUAAACCUCUUUUGUUGGGGAAUAAAGUCACCCACGUGUGGGUGUUUGUAUGUACCUUACGAAUAAGCAUCGGCUAAUUCCGUGCC
This 489-nucleotide ribosomal RNA is filed under the name uncultured bacterium. Its description in RNAcentral is "bacterial SSU rRNA". It matches the Rfam family "Bacterial small subunit ribosomal RNA", at positions 31 to 509 of the family's 1533-position model. The record is from RNAcentral.